Molecule: ribosomal RNA, 468 nt
Filed under: uncultured bacterium
Lineage: Bacteria
Description: partial 16S ribosomal RNA
Rfam family: Bacterial small subunit ribosomal RNA
Source: RNAcentral
GACGAACGCUGGCGGCGUGCUUAACACAUGCAAGUCGAACGGAAAGGCCCUGCUUUUGUGGGGUGCUCGAGUGGCGAACGGGUGAGUAACACGUGAGUAACCUGCCCUUGACUUUGGGAUAACUUCAGGAAACUGGGGCUAAUACCGGAUAGGAGCUCCUGCUGCAUGGUGGGGGUUGGAAAGUUUCGGCGGUUGGGGAUGGACUCGCGGCUUAUCAGCUUGUUGGUGGGGUAGUGGCGUACCAAGGCUUUGACGGGUAGCCGGCCUGAGGGGGUGACCGGCCACAUGGGGACUGAGAUACGGCCCAGACUCCUACGGGAGGCAGCAGUGGGGAAUAUUGCACAAUGGGCGGAAGCCUGAUGCAGCAACGCCGCGUGCGGGAUGACGGCCUUCGGGUUGUAAACCGCUUUCGCCUGUGACGAAGCGUGAGUGACGGUAAUGGGUAAAGAAGCACCGGCUAACUACGUG